UACGGAGGGUGCAAGCGUUAUCCGGAUUUACUGGGUUUAAAGCGUGCGCAGGCGGUUAUGUAAGACAGAUGUGAAAUGCCCGGGCUUAACCUGGGAACUGCAUUUGUGACUGCAUGGCUAGAGUUUGGCAGAGGGGGGUAGAAUUCCACGUGUAGCAGUGAAAUGCGUAGAUAUGUGGAGGAACACCGAUGGCGAAGGCAGCCCCCUGGGUCAAGACUGACGCUCAUGCACGAAAGCGUGGGGAGCAAACAGG
This 253-nucleotide ribosomal RNA is filed under the name uncultured bacterium. Its description in RNAcentral is "partial 16S ribosomal RNA". It matches the Rfam family "Bacterial small subunit ribosomal RNA", at positions 524 to 776 of the family's 1533-position model. The record is from RNAcentral.